RNAcentral lists this ribosomal RNA (2406 nucleotides) under Triticum aestivum (bread wheat). RNAcentral describes it as "partial small subunit ribosomal RNA". Lineage: Eukaryota; Viridiplantae; Streptophyta; Magnoliopsida; Poales; Poaceae. The record is from RNAcentral.
AUGGCGGAGCUCGAGGCCGGGUCCAUCUCCAUGGCGGCCGGGGGCGGCGGCCGACUCCGGAACGCCCUGAGCGGCAUGCUGUGUGCUUUCGCCCUCCUCCUUAUCGGCGUCCUUGCCUUCUCCAUCCGCCUCUUCUCAGUGAUCAAGUAUGAGAGCGUGAUCCACGAGUUCGAUCCCUACUUCAACUACCGCGUCACUCAGUUUUUGUCAAAGAGUGGAAUCUACGAGUUUUGGAACUGGUUUGACGAUCGAACAUGGUACCCCCUCGGACGUGUUAUUGGCGGCACCGUCUAUCCUGGUUUGACACUGACGGCAGGCACGAUAUGGUGGUUGCUAAACUCCCUCAACAUCCCAUUGUCGGUGGAGACUGUCUGUGUGUUCACUGCUCCGAUUUUUUCGGCAAAUGCUUCCUGGGCAACUUAUCUGUUGACAAAGGAAGCGAAGGGUCAUGGGGCUGGUUUAAUGGCAGCAACUAUCUUAGCUAUGGUCCCCUCAUACAUCUCAAGAUCUGUUGCAGGCAGCUACGAUAACGAAGCUGUAGCAAUAUUUGCUUUAAUAUUCACAUUUUAUCUAUAUGUAAAGACACUAAACACGGGGUCACUCUUUUAUGCAACACUUAAUGCUCUCUCUUACUUUUACAUGGUCUGUUCCUGGGGAGGCUACACAUUCAUCAUCAACCUUAUCCCAAUGCAUGUUCUCCUGUGUAUUGUAACUGGUCGUUAUUCUUCACGACUUUACGUUGCUUAUGCUCCCCUUGUUGUACUGGGAACACUUCUGGCAGCAUUGGUACCUGUGGUUGGUUUUAAUGCAGUAUUGACAUCAGAGCACUUUGCAUCAUUUCUGGUGUUUAUAAUCCUCCAUGUGGUUGCUCUUGUGUAUUACAUCAAAGGACUUUUAACUCCUCGGCUGUUCAAAGUGGCCAUGACAUUUGUACUAACGGUUGGCUUAGCCCUUUGUCUCGCUGUAGUAGCAAUACUUGCUGCAUUGGUCGCAUCUAGCCCAACAAAAGGUUGGAGUGGGCGCAGUUUGAGUCUACUUGACCCAACAUAUGCAAGCAAGUACAUCCCUAUCAUUGCUAGCGUGAGCGAACAUCAACCACCUACCUGGCCUUCUUACUUUAUGGCUAUCAAUGUGCUAGCCUUCUUAGUUCCUGCUGGGAUCAUAUCAUGCUUCUUACCUUUAUCUGAUGCAAGCUCAUUUUCGGUCUUGUACUUGGUAACUUCAGUAUAUUUCUCUGGGGUAAUGGUACGACUGAUGCUUGUUCUUGCCCCUGCCGUGUGCAUUUUGUCUGGGAUUGCUCUGUCAGAAGCUUUUAACGUCCUCACACGAUCGAUGAAAUUUCAGCGCCCAAUAUCAGAUGAUACCCUUCCUACUGCAGGAGAUAGUACCCCAGGGAGUUCCAGUACAGCCACUAUCACAACUUCCACGAAAAAUGCGAACAUAAAAAAAGAAAAAAUGGGGACUAUUUCAAAGGAAAGAUCAUCAAAGAAGAGUCGGAAGGAAACAGAAUUGGUGGGAAGUUCUCCUGUUAGGCCCGAAAAGGAGGAGAAGCUUUGUGUACUGCCUUCUGAAGCAUCUGCCAUGGGUAUACUGUUCCUGAUCAUGCUUUGUGGACUUUAUGUGAUCCAUUGUGUAUGGGCAGCUGCAGAAGCAUACUCUGCACCCUCAAUUGUGCUGACAUCACGUUCACACGACGGGCUGCAUGUUUAUGACGAUUUCCGUGAAUCUUAUGCAUGGCUGCGCCAUAACACAGAAGUGGACGAUAAGGUUGCGUCAUGGUGGGAUUAUGGUUAUCAGACAACUGCAAUGGCCAACAGGACCGUGAUUGUAGACAAUAAUACCUGGAAUAACACGCACAUAGCGACAGUUGGGACAGCAAUGUCAUCCCCAGAAAAAGGAGCAUGGGAGAUCUUCAAUUCCUUAGAUGUUAAAUAUGUGCUUGUGGUCUUUGGAGGGCUUAUUGGCUACCCAAGUGAUGAUAUUAAUAAGUUCCUCUGGAUGGUUCGAAUCGGAGGUGGUGAAUUCCCUCACAUCAAGGAACAGGAUUACCUUAGGGAUGGCAACUACCGUGUUGAUGCUCAGGGCACUCCAACAAUGCUGAAUUGCCUCAUGUACAAGCUUUGUUAUUACAGAUUCGCUGAGACUGAUGGCAAGGGGUUUGACAGAGCGAGAAGAUAUGAAAUAGGAAGGAAGCAUUUUAAACUGACCCAUUUUGAGGAGGUUUUUACAACCCAGCACUGGAUGGUUAGGAUUUACAAACUGAAACCGCAAAAGAACAGGGUCCGAGGAAAGUUGAAACUGAAAUUGAAAUCUGUAAGCCAGACAACACUACAGCUUGCCUACAAUCAUAGUUCGAAAACAAGUUUAAUGCGCAAAGGGGCUGGAAAGAAGAACCCAUGGCAGUAG